GAUGAACGCUGGCGGCGUGCCUAACACAUGCAAGUCGAACGAACCUUGGAGAUCAGAUUUCUUCGGAAUGAAGAUUUCGCUGGUUAGUGGCGGACGGGUGAGUAACGCGUGGGUAACCUGCCGUAUGCUGGGGGAUAACAGUUAGAAAUGACUGCUAAUACCGCAUAAGCGCACAGUAUCGCAUGAUACAGUGUGAAAAACUCCGGUGGCAUACGAUGGACCCGCGUCUGAUUAGCUAGUUGGCGGGGUAACGGCCCACCAAGGCGACGAUCAGUAGCCGGCCUGAGAGGGUGAACGGCCACAUUGGAACUGAGACACGGUCCAAACUCCUACGGGAGGCAGCAGUGGGGGAUAUUGCACAAUGGGGGAAACCCUGAUGCAGCGACGCCGCGUGAGUGAAGAAGUAUUUCGGUAUGUAAAGCUCUAUCAGCAGGAAAGAUAAUGACGGUACCUGACUAAGAAGCACCGGCUAAAUACGUGCCAGCAGCCGCGGUAAUACGUAUGGUGCAAGCGUUAUCCGGAUUUACUGGGUGUAAAGGGAGCGCAGACGGCAUGGCAAGCCAGAUGUGAAAGGUGGGGGCUCAACCCCCAAGCUGCAUUUGGAACUGUCAAGCUAGAGUAUCGGAGAGGUAAGUGGAAUUCCUAGUGUAGCGGUGAAAUGCGUAGAUAUUAGGAGGAACACCAGUGGCGAAGGCGGCUUACUGGACGAUAACUGACGUUGAGGCUC
RNAcentral lists this ribosomal RNA (727 nucleotides) under uncultured bacterium. RNAcentral describes it as "bacterial SSU rRNA". It matches the Rfam family "Bacterial small subunit ribosomal RNA", at positions 28 to 754 of the family's 1533-position model. The record is from RNAcentral.